GCAGUCGAGCGGACUGAUGGGAGCUUGCUCCCUGAAGUCAGCGGCGGACGGGUGAGUAACACGUGGGUAACCUGCCUGUAAGACUGGGAUAACUCCGGGAAACCGGGGCUAAUACCGGAUAGUUCUUUUCCUCGCAUGAGGAAAAGUGGAAAGGCGGCUUCGGCUGCCACUUACAGAUGGACCCGCGGCGCAUUAGCUAGUUGGUGAGGUAACGGCUCACCAAGGCAACGAUGCGUAGCCGACCUGAGAGGGUGAUCGGCCACACUGGGACUGAGACACGGCCCAGACUCCUACGGGAGGCAGCAGUAGGGAAUCUUCCGCAAUGGACGAAAGUCUGACGGAGCAACGCCGCGUGAGUGAUGAAGGUUUUCGGAUCGUACAGCUCUGUUGUUAGGGAAGAACAAGUGCCGUUCGAAUAGGGCGGCACCUUGACGGUACCUAACCAGAAAGCCACGGCUAACUACGUGCCAGCAGCCGCGGUAUAC
This 485-nucleotide ribosomal RNA is filed under the name Bacillus sp. CSeB15_5. RNAcentral describes it as "bacterial SSU rRNA". It matches the Rfam family "Bacterial small subunit ribosomal RNA", at positions 57 to 526 of the family's 1533-position model. The record is from RNAcentral. Lineage: Bacteria; Bacillati; Bacillota; Bacilli; Caryophanales; Bacillaceae.